CUACGGGUUGCUCCAGCAGGGAAUAUUGCACAAUGGACGGAAGUCUGAUGCAGCGACGCCGCGUGGAUGAUGAAGGCCCUCGGGUUGUAAAAUCCUUUUCAGGGGGACGAGGAAGGACGGUACCCUUGGAAUAAGCGUCGGCUAACUACGUGCCAGCAGCCGCGGUAAGACGUAGGACGCAAGCGUUAUCCGGAUUUACUGGGCGUAAAGCGUCUGUAGGCGGAAUGGUAAGUUGGACGUGAAAGCUCCGGGCUCAACCCGGAGAGGUCGUUCAAUACUGCCAAACUAGAGGGCAUCAGAGGAGCGUGGAAUUUCCGGUGUAGCGGUAAAAUGCGCAGAUAUCGGAAGGAACACCAAUGGCGAAGGCAGCGCUCUGGGAUGAACCUGACGCUAAGAGACGAAAGCUAGGGGAGCGAACAGGAUUAGAUACCCUCGUAGUC
RNAcentral lists this ribosomal RNA (440 nucleotides) under uncultured bacterium. RNAcentral's name for it is "partial 16S ribosomal RNA". It matches the Rfam family "Bacterial small subunit ribosomal RNA", at positions 339 to 795 of the family's 1533-position model. The record is from RNAcentral.